UACGGAAGGCAGCAGUGGGGAAUAUUGCACAAUGGGCGCAAGCCUGAUGCAGCCAUGCCGCGUGUAUGAAAAAGGCCUUCGGGUUGUAAAGUACUUUCAGUCGUGAGGAAGGUGUUAAGGUUAAUAACCUUAGCAAUUGACGUUAGCGACAGAAGAAGCACCGGCUAACUCCGUGCCAGCAGCCGCGGUAAUACGGAGGGUGCGAGCGUUAAUCGGAAUUACUGGGCGUAAAGGGCACGCAGGCGGUUAAUUAAGUUGGAUGUGAAAUCCCCGGGCUUAACCUGGGAAUGGCAUUCAAGACUGGUUAGCUAGAGUCUUGUAGAGGGGGGUAGAAUUCCAUGUGUAGCGGUGAAAUGCGUAGAGAUGUGGAGGAAUACCGGUGGCGAAGGCGGCCCCUGGACAAAGACUGACGCUCAUGUGCGAAAGCGUGGGGAGCAAAACAGGGAUUAGAUACC
This 455-nucleotide ribosomal RNA is filed under the name uncultured bacterium. RNAcentral's name for it is "bacterial SSU rRNA". It matches the Rfam family "Bacterial small subunit ribosomal RNA", at positions 340 to 786 of the family's 1533-position model. The record is from RNAcentral.